RNAcentral lists this unclassified non-coding RNA (329 nucleotides) under soil metagenome. RNAcentral's name for it is "partial contains 5.8S ribosomal RNA, internal transcribed spacer 2, and large subunit ribosomal RNA". The stretch from base 1 to 120 matches the Rfam family "5.8S ribosomal RNA", at positions 35 to 154 of the family's 154-position model. The record is from RNAcentral.
GAUGAAGAACGUAGUGAAAUGCGAUAAGUAAUGUGAAUUGCAGAAUUCAGUGAAUCAUCGAAUCUUUGAACGCACAUUGCGCUCCCUGGUAUUCCGGGGAGCAUGCCUGUUCGAGCGUCAUUACAACCCUCAAGCUCAGCUUGGUGUUGGGCCCCGCCGCCCCGGCGGGCCCUAAAGUCAGUGGCGGUGCCGUCCGGCUCCGAGCGUAGUAAUUCUUCUCGCUCUGGAGGUCCGGUCGUGUGCUCGCCAGCAACCCCCAAUUUUUUUCAGGUUGACCUCGGAUCAGGUAGGGAUACCCGCUGAACUUAAGCAUAUCAAUAAGCGGAGGA